AACCUUUACACUGCACGACAGUGCGAUAAGGGAAUCCCAAGUGCGUAGGCAUAGAGCCUACGCUUUUGUCCACCGUAGGGAGGUGGACGAAUAAGGGCUGGGCAAGACCGGUGCCAGCCGCCGCGGUAAUACCGGCAGCCCGAGUGAUGGCCGAUCUUAUUGGGCCUAAAGCGUCCGUAGCUGGCCGCGCAAGUCUAUCGGAAAAUCCACCCGCUCAACGGGUGGGCGUCCGGUAGAAACUGCGUGGCUUGGGACCGGAAGGCGCGACGGGUACGUCCGGGGUAGGAGUGAAAUCCCGUAAUCCUGGACGGACCGCCGAUGGCGAAAGCACGUCGCGAAGACGGAUCCGACAGUGAGGGACGAAAGCUAGGGUCUCGAACCGGAUUAAAUACCCGGGUAGUCCUAGCCGCAAACAAUGCCUGCUAGGUGUGGCUCCCACUACGAGUGGGUGCUGUGCCGUAGGGAAGCCGCUAAGCAGGCCGCCUGGGAAGUACGUCCGCAAGGAUGAAACUUAA
RNAcentral lists this ribosomal RNA (515 nucleotides) under uncultured archaeon. RNAcentral's name for it is "bacterial SSU rRNA". It matches the Rfam family "Archaeal small subunit ribosomal RNA", at positions 345 to 859 of the family's 1478-position model. The record is from RNAcentral.